RNAcentral lists this ribosomal RNA (301 nucleotides) under uncultured bacterium. Its description in RNAcentral is "partial 16S ribosomal RNA". It matches the Rfam family "Bacterial small subunit ribosomal RNA", at positions 509 to 809 of the family's 1533-position model. The record is from RNAcentral.
CAGUCGCCGCGGUAAUGCGUAGGUGGCAAGCGUUAUCCGGAAUUAUUGGGCGUAAAGGGCUCGCAGGCGGUUUCUUAAGUCUGAUGUGAAAGCCCCCGGCUCAACCGGGGAGGGUCAUUGGAAACUGGGAAACUUGAGUGCAGAAGAGGAGAGUGGAAUUCCACGUGUAGCGGUGAAAUGCGUAGAGAUGUGGAGGAACACCAGUGGCGAAGGCGACUCUCUGGUCUGUAACUGACGCUGAGGAGCGAAAGCGUGGGGAGCGAACAGGAUUAGAUACCCCAGUAGUCCCUGUCUCUUAUAU